Molecule: non-coding RNA, 73 nt
Organism: Halocaridina rubra (Hawaiian volcano shrimp)
Lineage: Eukaryota; Metazoa; Arthropoda; Malacostraca; Decapoda; Atyidae
Source: the annotation of a GenBank genome assembly
ACCUUCUGUGGUGUAGUUGGUAGCGCCUUGGAUUGGUAAUCAUAAGUCCUAGGUUAAAGUCCUGGUCGGGGUA